UGGCGAACGGGUGAGUAACACGUGGGUAACCUGCCCAUCAGAAGGGGAUAACACUUGGAAACAGGUGCUAAUACCGUAUAACACUAUUUUCCGCAUGGAAGAAAGUUGAAAGGCGCUUUUGCGUCACUGAUGGAUGGACCCGCGGUGCAUUAGCUAGUUGGUGAGGUAACGGCUCACCAAGGCAACGAUGCAUAGCCGACCUGAGAGGGUGAUCGGCCACACUGGGACUGAGACACGGCCCAGACUCCUACGGGAGGCAGCAGUAGGGAAUCUUCGGCAAUGGACGAAAGUCUGACUCGAGCAACUCCGCGUGAGUGAAGAAGGUUUUCGGAUCGUAAAACUCUGUUGUUAGAGAAAGAAACAAAGGAUGAGAGUAAA
Molecule: ribosomal RNA, 378 nt
Filed under: Enterococcus casseliflavus
Lineage: Bacteria; Bacillati; Bacillota; Bacilli; Lactobacillales; Enterococcaceae
Description: bacterial SSU rRNA
Rfam family: Bacterial small subunit ribosomal RNA
Source: RNAcentral